UUUUAAUGAGAGUUUGAUCCUGGCUCAGGACGAACGCUGGCGGCGUGCCUAAUACAUGCAAGUAGAACGCUGAUGUUUGGUGUUUACACUAGACUGAUGAGUUGCGAACGGGUGAGUAACGCGUAGGUAACCUGCCUCAUAGCGGGGGAUAACUAUUGGAAACGAUAGCUAAUACCGCAUAAGAGUGAUUAACACAUGUUAGUUAUUUAAAAGGAGCAAUUGCUUCACUGUGAGAUGGACCUGCGUUGUAUUAGCUAGUUGGUGAGGUAAAGGCUCACCAAGGCGACGAUACAUAGCCGACCUGAGAGGGUGAUGGGCCACACUG
RNAcentral lists this ribosomal RNA (325 nucleotides) under Streptococcus agalactiae. RNAcentral describes it as "bacterial SSU rRNA". It matches the Rfam family "Bacterial small subunit ribosomal RNA", at positions 1 to 315 of the family's 1533-position model. The record is from RNAcentral. Lineage: Bacteria; Bacillati; Bacillota; Bacilli; Lactobacillales; Streptococcaceae.